CACUUGUUGCCUCGGCGGAUCAGCCCGCUCCCGGUAAAACGGGACGGCCCGCCAGAGGACCCCUAAACUCUGUUUCUAUAUGUAACUUCUGAGUAAAACCAUAAAUAAAUCAAAACUUUCAACAACGGAUCUCUUGGUUCUGGCAUCGAUGAAGAACGCAGCAAAAUGCGAUAAGUAAUGUGAAUUGCAGAAUUCAGUGAAUCAUCGAAUCUUUGAACGCACAUUGCGCCCGCCAGUAUUCUGGCGGGCAUGCCUGUUCGAGCGUCAUUUCAACCCUCAAGCACAGCUUGGUGUUGGGACUCGCGUUAAUUCGCGUUCCUCAAAUUGAUUGGCGGUCACGUCGAGCUUCCAUAGCGUAGUAGUAAAACCCUCGUUACUGGUAAUCGUCGCGGCCACGCCGUUAAACCCCAACUUCUGAAUGUUGACCUCGGAUCAGGUAGGAAUACCCGCUGAACUUAAGCAUAUCAAUAAGCGGA
Molecule: ribosomal RNA, 476 nt
Filed under: Fusarium verticillioides
Lineage: Eukaryota; Fungi; Ascomycota; Sordariomycetes; Hypocreales; Nectriaceae
Description: eukaryotic LSU rRNA
Rfam family: 5.8S ribosomal RNA (bases 114-267)
Source: RNAcentral